Molecule: transfer RNA, 69 nt
Filed under: Habrodera capensis
Lineage: Eukaryota; Metazoa; Arthropoda; Insecta; Coleoptera; Carabidae
Description: tRNA-Gln
Source: RNAcentral
UACAUUUUAGUAUAUGACGUACACAAACUUUUGAUGUUUGAAGUAAUAGUUUAAUUCUAUUAAAUGUAA